Molecule: small RNA, 2331 nt
Filed under: Pan troglodytes (chimpanzee)
Lineage: Eukaryota; Metazoa; Chordata; Mammalia; Primates; Hominidae
Description: processed transcript
Source: RNAcentral
GGUGUCCUGUGUCAGGGCCACAGCCCGGGAGCACGUGGCGGUCAGAGAGGAGCGGAGGCAGUGGUCCAGAGGGUGGAGGUGAGCCCCAGCCUCCCUGACCCCCAGGCUCCCCUGGCUCCAGCCCUAAGGUGCUCUCCCAGCCGUCCGACCUGGAUCUCCAAGACGUAGAGGAAGUGGAGAUCGGCAGAGACACCUUCUGGCCCGGUGAGUGAGUAGAAUCGGGUUACUGGGGGACCAGAGCUCUGCGCGUGCCAGGCUCCUCACAAUGCCCACCUCUGUGGCACCCCCAAUGCUGGCACCACCCCCUUCCUGGGGCCCCUUUUCUUCCCUGGCACCAGCUCACCUCUGCCCCAUGGCCCCUCCCCCACUCUAAUGCCAGUCCAGUUACUGAUGCUUCCCGAGGCGGUGACUGCAGCCCACAGCCACCUGCGCCAGUGGCCCCACGUGGACUCCUGCCGGCCCCAGCUGGACAAAGUGAAUCAGAAACGCCUCCCUCCCCUCCACCUGCCUUGGGCUGGGGCUUCUGGCUCAGGGCACCACUGUCCCCCCAGAUCCACGAGUUAUCCUGUGUCCUCUCCUCCUCCUGCAUCCCCUAGAUGGCCUCCCCUCAGCCUGGCUGGAGCUGUGUCCAGGUCCCCUGCACCUCCCCCUUGAGAAGCUCCCAGGGUUCCCUCUGGGCGAUGUUAGUGAUAUGGCUGGAUUUAACAGUGCUGAGCCCUCGCCCACAUCUGGGCGGCCCUGGGGUGGGGAGCAGGUGUCUGAGGUCAGGUCCCUGGAAAGAGACCCUGGGCCAGAGAUUUGCGUGGGAAGCUCCUGGGGUGGGCAUGGGAGCUGGGCGGCAGCGCACUUGCCACCGAGGCCUGGGGCAGCCCCGUGAGGAGCUGUGCCCAUACGGACCACAUCCUCGGCAAGGGCUUUGAGGCGCCCUCUGGAGCUCUGGCGUCCCCCAGGUUCCGGGUCCUCACCAACACUUAGUGCUUCCUCCUGGCUAAGGGUGACCCCACGGUCUGUCUUGCCACUGUGGCUCCGUGCACCGGCACGGCCGCCGUGGUGACUGUGGAUGGUCCCAGCAGCUCUGGGUCACCCUGCAACGCCCCCCACCCCUGUGUCUAUGUCAGCUCUCCCGGGCACAGCACUCCGAGCCACUGUCCGCUUGUCUCCCAUCCACUGGGUGCCUGGCCCCUCCUUGUCCCCUCUAAGCCCCCCUAUCCAGCUCUGCUCUCACUCCCCGUCCCCGUCCCUCCGUGCCACGGUGGGGGCAUGCGGGUACUAUCCGCCUCUGCCGUUUCUCAUUUCAGACUCCGAGCCCAAGCCGGAGCAGGCUCCACGCUCUCCUGGCUCUCAGGCCCCUGACGAGGGGGCGGGCGGGGCGCUGCGCAGCCUCCUGAGGAGCCUUCCCCGCAGGGCCCGGUGCAGCGCCGGCUUCGGGCCUGAAUCCAGCGCGGAGCGGCCGGCGGGCCAGCCGCCUGGGGCCGUCCCUUGCGCUCAGCCGCGGGGCGCCUGGCGCGUGACGCUCGUGCAGCAAGCAGCGGCCGGGCCCGAGGGUGCGCCCGAGCGGGCUGCCGAGCUGGGAGUCAACUUCGGUCGGAGCCGGCAGGGCAGCGCGCGGGGGGCCAAGCCGCACAGGUGCGAGGCCUGCGGCAAGAGUUUCAAGUAUAACUCGCUGCUCCUGAAGCACCAGCGCAUCCACACGGGCGAGAAGCCCUACGCCUGCCACGAGUGCGGCAAGCGCUUCCGCGGCUGGUCGGGCUUCAUCCAGCACCACCGCAUCCACACGGGCGAGAAGCCCUACGAGUGCGGCCAGUGCGGCCGCGCCUUCAGCCACAGCUCGCACUUCACGCAGCACCUGCGCAUCCACAACGGCGAGAAGCCCUACAAGUGCGGCGAGUGCGGCCAGGCCUUCAGCCAGAGCUCCAACCUGGUGCGCCACCAGCGGCUGCACACGGGUGAGAAGCCCUACGCCUGCAGCCAGUGCGGCAAGGCCUUCAUCUGGAGCUCCGUGCUCAUCGAGCACCAGCGCAUCCACACUGGCGAGAAGCCCUACGAGUGCGCCGACUGCGGCAAAGCCUUCCGCGGCCGCUCGCACUUCUUCCGGCACCUGCGGACCCACACGGGCGAGAAGCCCUUCGCGUGUGGCGCCUGCGGCAAGGCCUUCGGCCAGAGCUCCCAGCUCAUCCAGCACCAGCGGGUGCACUACCGCGAGUAGCCGGGCGGGGGCUCGGGGCUCGGCCUCCUACCUGCCCCCAACCCGCCCUCCACCCCGUCCCCCACGGUGGGCACUGCCCAGCACCGCAUGCCACGUGUCCGGAAUAAAUUUUUUAGUUGUUGGAA